CAGCAGCAACAAGGUAGCUGGCACAGAAAAUACAGGAAAUCCUAUUAUGCCAUGAAACAGAAAAUAAAAAAUGCAAUCCUUGUGUUAAUUCUGUAUUUUAAAACUGGGAGCACAUUCCAUAUCUUGCCAAGAAAUACAGACAGAACAUACAAGAACCAUUUUUCUUUUUCACUAAAGAUCUGUUCCCAUGAAGAAAAAAGUAAUUCCUUUAUAGCAUUGUAUCAAUUUGUGUUUUAAAAACAACUUGUUUCCUUGGUGUUGUCAAAGAAUCAGCCUUUAGGCACUACUUAUAAACACCAAGGUCCUAUCUACACAUCAGAGUCCAUCUGUGCAGUUAACACCCUUUAAACUCCAGCCCUUAAACUUACCACCUAGCAAAAAUUCGUUCAUGCUCAUUUACGAUUUAGUGAUGAAAUAAUAUGUAUUGAUUGACCAUGUUAUUUUAAGUAGUUACUUCCCUCAAAUCCAAACCGUGACAUGCAAAAUGUUGAUCUUGUCCAAACAUAAGGAAGUUUCGUUGGCCUAAAUGUUAUAGAAGAUACGUAUGAAAUGAACAGCUCCUAAAUUUCACUAAAAGACAAACAUCCAAUAUCUAAGACUUGACCAUUAUAAACUCCAAAGGGACCAUAAUAUCAGGAUCCGCCAACAUUCCCAGCGCCAAAAAGAAACCUCCCUCUCUGUAAUAAGAACAAAUCGUGCUAAACAUUCAGGCCAAAACUCAACAUUUCAUGGGAAUUCCAAAUCUCUUCGCUGUGUUUAAAAUAAAAGUUUACGUACAAAUCCAUCGCCGCGUAAAAAUUACAGUGAAAAAGUUGAAAACUGAUCCGAAGCUUUGCAACAACUCCAGUUCUGCAUCUGUACUUCCAAGUUCUACGCAUCUAAAAAAUUUUAAAGCUACAGAGAAAGAAGGAUGCCAUACCAGAAGGCGGUGACAGAGGGGAAAUCGCUGGUGGUGGCCAUGACACACAGCGACACUGCCGCAAACGCGAACUGGAAGAAUCGCAACACCAGGCCUCCAAGAGUGCCCGGCAUGCCUUGGAUGUCCUUCAUCCGCGCCCUCGGCGCACCGUUGGCGGCAUCGGUGAGCGGAGGUGCCUCAAUUGGGUGCACCGCAGGGUGGCUUACAUUCAUCGUUUCAGAGAAAAAAAAAAUGCUAUACCGCCACUGUGCCCAUGGAUUCUUGCG
Molecule: long non-coding RNA, 1185 nt
Filed under: Vitis vinifera (wine grape)
Lineage: Eukaryota; Viridiplantae; Streptophyta; Magnoliopsida; Vitales; Vitaceae
Description: long non-coding RNA (VVIN_LNC004080)
Source: RNAcentral